Molecule: ribosomal RNA, 256 nt
Filed under: uncultured bacterium
Lineage: Bacteria
Description: partial 16S ribosomal RNA
Rfam family: Bacterial small subunit ribosomal RNA
Source: RNAcentral
UACGUAGGGUCCGAGCGUUGUCCGGAAUUACUGGGCGUAAAGAGCUCGUAGGUGGUUUGUCGCGUUGUUCGUGAAAACUCACAGCUUAACUGUGGGCGUGCGGGCGAUACGGGCAGACUAGAGUACUGCAGGGGAGACUGGAAUUCCUGGUGUAGCGGUGGAAUGCGCAGAUAUCAGGGAGGAACACCGGUGGCGAAGGCGGGUCUCUGGGCAGUAACUGACGCUGGAGGAGCGAAAGCCGUGGGGAGCAAACAGG